Molecule: ribosomal RNA, 253 nt
Filed under: uncultured bacterium
Lineage: Bacteria
Description: partial 16S ribosomal RNA
Rfam family: Bacterial small subunit ribosomal RNA
Source: RNAcentral
UACGGAGGGUGCAAGCGUUAAUCGGAAUUACUGGGCGUAAAGCGUGCGUAGGCGGUUCGUUAAGUCUGUUGUGAAAGCCCCGGGCUCAACCUGGGAACUGCAUUUGUGACUGCAUAGCUAGAGUACGGUAGAGGGGGAUGGAAUUCCGCGUGUAGCAGUGAAAUGCGUAGAUAUGCGGAGGAACGCCGAUGGCGAAGGCAAUCCCCUGGACCUGUACUGACGCUCAUGCACGAAAGCGUGGGGAGCAAACAGG